GAGUUUGAUCAUGGCUCAGAACGUACGCUGGCGGCACGCCUUAUACAUGCAAGUCGAACGCAGUAGCAAUACUGAGUGGCAAACGGGUGAGUAUAAUGUGGGUAUCUGCCUUUUGGUUUGGAAUAACAUGAGGAAACUUAUGCUAAUACCGGAUAAGCCUUCACAGGGAAAGUUUUAUACGCCGAAAGAUGAGCCCGCACUUGAUUAGUUUGUUGGUGAGGUAAUGGCUCACCAAGACAAUUAUCAAUAGCUGGUCUGAGAGGACGAUCAGC
Molecule: ribosomal RNA, 272 nt
Filed under: uncultured Alphaproteobacteria bacterium
Lineage: Bacteria; Pseudomonadati; Pseudomonadota; Alphaproteobacteria
Description: partial 16S ribosomal RNA
Rfam family: Bacterial small subunit ribosomal RNA
Source: RNAcentral